Diceros bicornis minor is the source of this 405-nucleotide long non-coding RNA. RefSeq lists it as uncharacterized. The record is from RefSeq and is a predicted model, not a curated record. The transcript has 3 exons. NCBI's taxonomy places the organism in Eukaryota, Metazoa, Chordata, Mammalia, Perissodactyla, Rhinocerotidae.
UUAUUCUUAAUCAUCUCAGGUGUUAAAGAGCAAAGCAGAUCUUUUUCUCUGAGGCCAAGACUCAUCCAAGGGAGCAUGACCUUCUUUGGGGUGGAGUAUUUACUGCUGAGUCAUGGGAGACAAUUAAAGCAAAGAAACCUUACAAGCAGGUGGCCAACACUUGCUUAGUGGUCAUCCACUUGGGCUGUUGGAUGGAAUUUUAUGGCAUCGAAAUGGAGGAGAUAAAGGUGAAAUGAUCUUCAAGGUCCCUUACAACUCACUUCUGCUGUAGCCAUGAAAAGAGUAUGCCUUGAGUAAGCUGCUGGCCUAAAGAGGAUGAGAGAUGUGUGGAGCAGAGAUGAACUGAAUCCACAGCCUGGAACCAAGCCCAGCCAAGAUCAGCCAAUCUCUAGCUGACCCCAGGAU